UCCACCUUUACCCCCGAGACGCUGAGACACUCCUGUCUAAUGAAGUAGAGGGGCCGCGGUCCCAGAGGGCUGGAGCAGAGCUCUGUCACCCCUGAGUGUUGUUUUCCCACCGGACAGCCCAGUCAGCGUCCACCAUCGAAGCAUGUCGCCGGUAACGAAGUGCGGGUCUGUGUGA
Long non-coding RNA from Epinephelus fuscoguttatus (brown-marbled grouper), 175 nucleotides. RefSeq lists it as uncharacterized. The record is from RefSeq and is a predicted model, not a curated record. The transcript has 3 exons. NCBI's taxonomy places the organism in Eukaryota, Metazoa, Chordata, Actinopteri, Perciformes, Serranidae.